UACGGGGGGGGGUAAGCGUUGUUCGGAAUUACUGGGCGUAAAGGGCUCGUAGGUGGCCAACUAAGUCAGACGUGAAAUCCCUCAGCUUAACUGGGGAACUGCGUCUGAUACUGGAUGGCUUGAGUUUGGGAGAGGGAUGCGGAAUUCCAGGUGUAGCGGUGAAAUGCGUAGAUAUCUGGAGGAACACCGGUGGCGAAGGCGGCAUCCUGGACCAACACUGACACUGAGGAGCGAAAGCCAGGGGAGCAAACGGG
RNAcentral lists this ribosomal RNA (254 nucleotides) under uncultured bacterium. Its description in RNAcentral is "partial 16S ribosomal RNA". It matches the Rfam family "Bacterial small subunit ribosomal RNA", at positions 524 to 776 of the family's 1533-position model. The record is from RNAcentral.